RNAcentral lists this ribosomal RNA (522 nucleotides) under uncultured bacterium. RNAcentral's name for it is "bacterial SSU rRNA". It matches the Rfam family "Bacterial small subunit ribosomal RNA", at positions 988 to 1509 of the family's 1533-position model. The record is from RNAcentral.
CCAGAGAACUUAGCAGAGAUGCUUUGGUGCCUUCGGGAACUCUGAGACAGGUGCUGCAUGGCUGUCGUCAGCUCGUGUUGUGAAAUGUUGGGUUAAGUCCCGCAACGAGCGCAACCCUUAUCCUUUGUUGCCAGCGGCUCGGCCGGGAACUCAAAGGAGACUGCCGGUGAUAAACCGGAGGAAGGUGGGGAUGACGUCAAGUCAUCAUGGCCCUUACGGCCAGGGCUACACACGUGCCACAAUGGCGCAUACAAAGAGAAGCGACCUCGCGAGAGCAAGCGGACCUCACAAAGUGCGUCGUAGUCCGGAUUGGAGUCUGCAACUCGACUCCAUGAAGUCGGAAUCGCUAGUAAUCGUAGAUCAGAAUGCUACGGUCGAAUACGUUCCCGGGCCUUGUACACACCGCCCGUCACACCAUGGGAGUGGGUUGCAAAAGAAGUAGGUAGCUUAACCUUCGGGAGGGCGCUUACCACUUUGUGAUUCAUGACUGGGGUGAAGUCGUAACAAGGUAGGCGUAGCGAG